CUGGUGAUUCAUGAUAACUCCUCGAAUCGCAUGGCCUUGUGCCGGCGAUGGUUCAUUCAAAUUUCUUCCCUAUCAACUUUCGAUGUUUGGGUAUUGGCCAAACAUGGUUGCAACGGGUAACGGAGGGUUAGGGCUCGACCCCGGAGAAGGAGCCUGAGAAACGGCUACUACAUCCAAGGAAGGCAGCAGGCGCGCAAAUUACCCAAUCCCGACACGGGGAGGUAGUGACAAUAAAUACUGAUACAGGGCUCUUUUGGGUCUUGUAAUUGGAAUGAGUACAAUUUAAAUCCCUUAACGAGGAACAAUUGGAGGGCAAGUCUGGUGCCAGCAGCCGCGGUAAUUCCAGCUCCAAUAGCGUAUAUUAAAGUUGUUGUGGUUAAAAAGCUCGUAGUUGAACCUUGGGCCUGGCUGGCCGGUCCGCCUCACCGCGUGUACUGGUCCGGCCGGGCCUUUCCCUCUGUGGAACCCCAUGCCCUUCACUGGGUGUGGCGGGGAAACAGGACUUUUACUGUGAAAAAAUUAGAGUGCUCCAGGCAGGCCUAUGCUCGAAUACAUUAGCAUGGAAUAAUAGAAUAGGACGUGUGGUUCUAUUUUGUUGGUUUCUAGGACCGCCGUAAUGAUUAAUAGGGACAGUCGGGGGCAUCAGUAUUCAAUUGUCAGAGGUGAAAUUCUUGGAUUUAUUGAAGACUAACUACUGCGAAAGCAUUUGCCAAGGAUGUUUUCAUUAAUCAGGAACGAAAGUUAGGGGAUCGAAGACGAUCAGAUACCGUCGUAGUCUUAACCAUAAACUAUGCCGACUAGGGAUCGGAC
This 810-nucleotide ribosomal RNA is filed under the name Fusarium oxysporum. RNAcentral's name for it is "SSU rRNA". It matches the Rfam family "Eukaryotic small subunit ribosomal RNA", at positions 243 to 1058 of the family's 1831-position model. Lineage: Eukaryota; Fungi; Ascomycota; Sordariomycetes; Hypocreales; Nectriaceae. The record is from RNAcentral.